This 465-nucleotide ribosomal RNA is filed under the name uncultured bacterium. RNAcentral's name for it is "partial 16S ribosomal RNA". It matches the Rfam family "Bacterial small subunit ribosomal RNA", at positions 338 to 795 of the family's 1533-position model. The record is from RNAcentral.
CCUACGGGAGGCAGCAGUAGGGAAUCUUCCACAAUGGGCGAAAGCCUGAUGGAGCAACGCCGCGUGGGUGAAGAAGGUCUUCGGAUCGUAAAACCCUGUUGUUAGAGAAGAAAGUGCGUGAGAGUAACUGUUCACGUUUCGACGGUAUCUAACCAGAAAGCCACGGCUAACUACGUGCCAGCAGCCGCGGUAAUACGUAGGUGGCAAGCGUUAUCCGGAUUUAUUGGGCGUAAAGGGAACGCAGGCGGUCUUUUAAGGCUGAUGGGAAAGCCUUCGGCUUAACCGGAGUAGUGCAUUGGAAACUGGGAGACUUGAGUGCAGAAGAGGAGAGUGGAACUCCAGGUGUAGCGGUGAAAUGCGUAGAUAUAUGGAAGAACACCAGUGGCGAAAGCGGCUCUCUGGUCUGUAACUGACGCUGAGGUUCGAAAGCGUGGGUAGCAAACAGGAUUAGAUACCCCUGUAGUC